GUGAUUCUGUGAGACUGAAUAACGAAUCAGCAUAAGGCACUUACAACCCAGGACUUCAGGAGAUGCUGGCUUAAACCUCUGGAGAGAUGGACGUCUUUGGGAGUUACUUUCGGAGUUUCGGGUUUGGCAACUUGAAAUCAAUCGCUGAAUAGCGAUGUUCAAGCGUCUGGCAGCUUCGAAUAUUUGCACAAUCUGAACAAGAGGACAAUUUCAUGAUUAUCUUUGUGUACAAUGUCGAUAUUUGUCAGCGUUACGUCUGGGAAGGCUUGAGGUUUCACGUUUUGGAUCAAUUAGACUCUGGGCUGUGCAUCAACAAAUCCAAAGUUCGGUUUCUGACGCCGUGAACGAAACUUCAUCGCGAUAUCGAAUCGAAUGGGGGUCUAAUGUUUGACUUUUAAGUCUUUUUAAUUUUUCGACGAAGAUGUACCUGGAAUAUCUCUGGACCUGGUUGUGAGCAUGACGCACUGAAACAUACGAAUCACAAUUUUUGCAACAAAUAACGCUUGUUAUGCAAAAGAAUAUUAAAGCCGGACGCAUUAAUCCAGUUCAAUGUUUGCGAUCCUGAGUCACGUUUUAGUAAAUCAGGUUCUUCUUCAUUUCACCGCCAUUUCUCCUUUGUAUGAGGAUGAAGAGUCGAAAACUAUUUGACCCUAAUUUUGUGGUAAACACUUUAAAACUAUCGCUUUGUAUUCUGAAGAUCUCCGAUAAAAAAUACUGGGGCUGGAAGUCGUCUAUACGAGUACAAUAAAAUAGGCCACGGCAGCUCCCUUCAACUCUCUUUCCAACAUAUCAUUGACAAAUAUCUGUCCCUGUCCAACAGCGCGCAGACAAUUAUAAAUGUCAGGAAACAGGACACAAUCAGGGCGAUGAUGGAGGCAGCAGGGACCUCUGAAAUGUCGGUAAACGUCUACCAGAAUACAUGGUUCUGUAAACCAGAAGACGAGAUACAAAGAUUGCAAUUGAUGAUGAUGACUUUAAAGUUGAAAUUUUAAAAUGUGAGAGACAUAAAAAGUAUCAAAGCUGGCGAUGAGUCAUUAAUUCUAAAUCUGAAUCAGUGGAAAGAACUUAAUAAAAAUUGUGAGAAGA
Zootermopsis nevadensis is the source of this 1086-nucleotide long non-coding RNA. RefSeq lists it as uncharacterized. NCBI's taxonomy places the organism in Eukaryota, Metazoa, Arthropoda, Insecta, Blattodea, Termopsidae. The record is from RefSeq and is a predicted model, not a curated record.